This is a long non-coding RNA of Diachasmimorpha longicaudata, 7412 nucleotides long. RefSeq lists it as uncharacterized. NCBI's taxonomy places the organism in Eukaryota, Metazoa, Arthropoda, Insecta, Hymenoptera, Braconidae. The transcript is spliced from 4 exons. The record is from RefSeq and is a predicted model, not a curated record.
AGUGGAAUCGAUUCCAGUGAGAGCUGAAUUCCCAGGAGGUGGGGAAAAAUCAUUUUUCCUCCGGGGAAAAACUAUUAUUGGAAUUUUUUCCUUCUUUCUCACUGUGAUUGCUUGAUUUAUUUAUUUUGCAAUCACUCCUUCUUAUUUAUAGGCAGAUGAGCAGAGGUGAUGAUGAGAAAGCCAGAGAAUUCAUUACAUUUAGUUUUAAUGAUCGUUGAUAGUUAUUCGUAAUUUAUGUUUUCCAUUUACUAUUUUUGGUCUGUGAAUAUUUUUAUGAGAAUAUCGAGGGCUCGGCGAAGCUGAAACGCAGGUGAUAAUGAAAGAGUGGUCACCACUUAAUUUCAAUGGGGCUCGAUAGUCGAUGGUGUUGAAGUUGAAUAAUUUAUUUAACGGUUUUCCGUCUUUCUUAUUCCAAUCAGCUAUUGUCGUUACUUUAUGAAUGUUUUUAUGGCAAUGGCGAUCGUUACCUUUGUUUCUAGGUAAAUAACGUGAAAAAUAAUUGAUUCUUUGGUGAAUGACUAUUUGUCUUUGAGAUAAUUACUCACGGUUCGCGAUCAUCGUAUUUCUUUAGACUGAUUGUUAAGUUUAUUUACACUGCAAUUGGUGAAUACUUUACAAUCACUUUUGAUCAUUAUAUUUUUUUAAUGAUUAAUUCUCGAUUUUCCUCAAUUAUUAUUUUUAUUUUCCCACGGUUAUAUUUGUACACCUUCCAACAGGUUUAUUCAUCAUCUCGCAACUUAUUUAUUUAUGAUGAGUAGACGUGACAAUGAGAGAGCGGUAGAAUUUAUUCAGGUGCAUUGAAAACAUUUAAUGCAAAUCGAAUGCUAAUUCAAAAUGAAAGUAAAAGACUUUUGGAAUUGAUUAAUUUUUUUUUCACUCGUGAAUAACAUAUUAGGCCUGUGGAGGGAAUGGGAAAGAGUCAAACAGAAAUCGCCACUUUCAUCUGGCAAUGGGUCGUCAAGCGUUCACCCGUUAUGGGUCAGUACACGUAGAAGUCGCGUAAUUUCUCCUUGGCGGCCUUGUCGGCCUUUUUUCAUCGGUGUGCAACCAGCAACCGGUGAAAUUCCGGGGCUAGUGACCUCGUGAACUCUUUAUACAAAUCGUGUGUGUGUGUUUUUAUUUCGGGUGGUCCACGGAACUCGAACAGGUUCAAACGCUGACCGAAUUCCUGGGCCUCAAAAUUUUUGAAUAUUUCUCACGGGCAUUUGUCGAUCGCAUUCUUCAGCGAUGUUGCAAGGUGAAAUUCAGGGUCGCCUCUAACCACUUUUUUUUGUCAUUACUAAUGCACUUUCUAGGGUUGUAACGAGGAGGAAGAGGAGGAUGUCAGUCGGUAGAAUCAACUGUUAAAGGAUGGAUAAGCGAAUGAUUGCCAGUAGGAAACAUUAUCAGCGAGAUAAAAAGUCCUGUACGUGAGCGAGUAAGUCUUCCUGGCUUUCAUGAAAUUCCCAUUCCCCAAUUAACCAGCGACUCAUACCCUCUCAUGGGCACUAAUUGAACGUCCGGAAUAAUUAGAAGAAUCUCCUCUCAUUGUGGGAGUUGUCAGAGUAGGAAGGCAAUCUCCCGUGGAAUGUAGUUAAAUCGGUGGAUUAAAGUUUUAAAGGCAUCAGAGUAAUGACAAAAAUUCACGAGUCAAAACUAAUUUACGGGCUCAUUUCGAAGUUGGGCAAUUUUCGUGAAUUAUGGGUGAUAAAUAUUACCAUUCUUUCGGAUGAUAAAUAUGUAGACGAAGUAGAAGACAAUGAGACCGCCAAUGAGAGUCAGCAUCUCUUGAAUCAGUUGUAGUAACAUGCGGAACAUUCAAUUUCACAUAACUUCAUCCAGUGGAGACGUGCAAUGAAUUGUUUCUGUGCAUUGUAUAACUUCCAAAAGCACAAUUGACACAGUUUUCUACAUAAUUCGGUACGUCAUUAUUUUCACACGUGUUUCAUUCAAUAUUUCAACACCAUCAGAGAACACUUUAUUCCAAUGUAGGUAAUAUUAAUGCACAUGAAUAAAAAAAUCUGGGGAUUAACAGAUUGUUGUAAGAAAGACGAUUGAUUUGAUUCGUCGUUCGUCAUUCAUUCUGACAAACUAUCCCAAUAUCUCGGAAACUACUGGGGUAUAACGGAUCGUCUUUCUUUAAUUUCGGAUUGAGUUUCCAAUAACACUUCAACCUUCAAUAAUUAUCGAUAUUGAAAUAGAAAAAUUGCAUUAAAUCCGCACAAAAAUUCUGUUUUCCUCAUUCGGUUUGGUAACCUCCACUUCCUAGAAGCCUCUAACCAAAAGUUAACAGUUAUCCACUAAGAUUACAGGUAAAAUACAUUUCUGCGGCUUUUAUCAGUAAUUUCCAGGCAUUAUCUUCACUGACUACGCAACGACAUCGUUUCUCAUUUUUUUUUUCUUCUAGAAACCUUUGUCACGAUUGGAAACACGGAAGAUGAAAGACAUCAAUUCCGAUUUGUCAAUAAGAGAUUUUUCCAGCCACGAGGGAAUUAUUUACCCAGCUAUGUACAUCCGGACAACAUUGAAGAAAAAAAAUCCAGUAAUUCAACUGAUCUUACGAAUGACUCGAUUUUCCUGCGACACUCUGAUGGUUCGAUUAUAGAAAAUUUUCUGCAUCACAUGCAUCCCGAGAUGAUGCGUGACUGCAGGUGUAUUUUAUAUGGUAUUUGUUGGUGAUUUUCGUCACGUGCGAGCAAUGAAACAACAUAACGGAAUUUUCGUGAGAAUCCUCGCUCAAAGUUCCCGUUCAAUUAGCGCCCGAAGCAAUUCGAAGAGUUCAAGGCCCCAGUAUUUAUUAUUUGAUUCGAUAAAUUUGAGAUUCCAAUGACUCGAUGGAAUGAUGUCGCUUAACUUGGCUUCCUCGAGAUACGAUUUUCGAUCAAAGUCUCCUAUCCGCAUUGCGCAACACGUGACAAAGGUCAGAAGUGGAGAAUAUGUAACAAUAUUAUUUUUAUUCAUGAACGAGGAGCAUUAUUUUAAUUAAAACUGAGGGAGAACAGGAUUUAUCGAGUUCAAGGUAUCGCACGAGUACAGGUAUUCUUCCGAUAUUUAUCUCUUUUCCUGAAUCCCUCUUCGAUUACUCGAAUGUAAGAGACUUUUCAAUAUUUCGAUAUAAGAAUUAACGAGUAUUUUCCGGCUCCGGCGAAUACACUUGUAAAUAAAUAUUAAUGAAUUACUAUUUAUCGCUGAUUAAACGCGCAAAUUUAAAGGGACUGAAGUCCCAAUUAUCAAUUCACAACUGCAUUUUAUUGCACAAUAAUUCCACAGGUUACGUUAUCGCGUGAAAUAAUCGAUGAUCAUUCUCGUAAUUAUCCCCUGAUUACUGACGCACUCACACUGACAUGUAUUUACACUUGCACAGACGUGUAACUUCACCACGUAAAUAACAGGUACACUUCAAGUUCAAUCGGCAAGUUGUCGCGGGAUUUGCGCAGGGAAUUGAAUGUCCGAGUGGCGAUGAUCUACCGCGCAUCCGUGUUAUAUUGAUCUCAUCACUGAUUUUUUUACACGUGUCCGGUGCCACUAACGAUCCACUUCAUGAGUGAUUAGGCCGCGUAAUGGGGACUGGAGAGACAGUUGAAUACUGAGAUGUGAGAAAGACGUCAACGGGGAUGCACGAGGUGGUGGUGUUGCGAACUCAAUGAAAUCCGCCUAACUUGCACGUAAUCACGGUUCGGGGUCUCGAGUGAGACUGGGCAAAACGUUGGGUCUCUCCUGAUAUGCCAGGCAACGUCGUCCAAUACCCCACAUACGACUCUUCUACGGAUUCAUCUACUUCAGUGGGGGACAUUUCACGCGACAGUCUUGGAUUUUUGUAUUUUUUAUUUUUAAUUUUUUUUAUUUUUAUUGAUGGGGUAACGACGUAAAAAAUGACUCUUUUUGGAAUAUCUUGUGGAAAUAUUUUGAAAAAAACUCUUAAAGAAAAACGUUUCUCUCUCUCUCUCUCUCUCUGAUAUUUACUAUUUGAUUUUCAUCGUUAUAAAACCCUUACGUCAAACACAGAGUUGACAUUGGAAUCAAGUGGAAGUAUCAACGCGGAAAUUUAUCUCUGAAAUUUAAACGUUCAAGGCAGAGUUCACAAGUUUUACAACCGGAUAAUCGUAUGAUAAAAAAAUAGAAAUGACGUAAGUGUACCUGGAUUUUCUCUACGUCUUCAAAUCAUCGGGAACUGAUCGAAAAAUAUCGAAUAGUUUAGCAUCUCUCGUGAUAUUAUGAGGGAACAAUUGUCUUCUGUAUUAUUCCCAGGGCUGAAGUCUCUCUUUUCUUCAGCGGGUGAUGGUUUUACGGUUGAAGUAACAAUUUAUCAGACUACCUCAACGAUUUAUUCUAUCUCUACGUGCCAUUUUCACAAAAAUUGUCGCUGAAAUUACGUAGGACAUGAGGUGCAGUUUGUUAGAGAUAUCAAAUGAAUGCGAUACGUCUCCAAUUUCGUUGACAUUUGCGUAUUUCCUUGUUCUUAUUUUCAAUGAGUGAUGAAAAAAAGUGAAAGAAAUCCUCCGGUAGUCAUAGAUUGCGCUGCAGAAUUGAAAUAUGUGACCCAACCACGAUUUUUCCAUGGGAAAAGAAAAUUAUUACGGAUGUAAAUAAACGAAACAAUGGGAUUCAGUGAUUUCUCUAUUUUUCUUUUUACGUCGAGGAAACUUCCUCAUCUGUCUGUAUUUACCCAUUCUAUAUCUGUAGGUGUACAUAAAAGUAUAUACAUAAGACAUAUUGUGACGUAGACCAGAGGCACAAGUCUCCGCAUACCUUGGGCUCAUUAAAUACAUCUAAAAAUAACCCGUUUAAUUCAAAAAUUUUAAUUUGAAUAAAUUUUCAACCAAAAAUGUCACAGAAAAAUUUAAAAAACGAGCGAAAGUUCCCACUGACAUGCAAAUUCACACUCUGAAUGACAUUAAACAUUGGAAAUUGGAAUAAUGAUCCAGCAUCAUGACUCUGCCAUAAAAAAAAACUGUAUAAAUAUUAGUGUCUUACAACAUUUAUUCCUAAUGAGCUAAAUAAUUAUACUUGAAUUUUUUUUUCAUUUUUCAUGGAAAUUUUUAUCAUAAUGGCAAUAACUAAUCGUCGAAUCUUCAAUCAAAAAUAAUCAUCUCUGAUGAAUCUCAAUGAUUUUAGCGGAAAAUAAAAAAUAACAGAAAAAAUCAUAUAAAUAAUUGUUUUUUCAAUUACAGCACAGAAAAAAUACAAAAUAGAAGUUAAUCAAUAUUUUUCCACGUGUUGUCAGUUUCUCAUUUGAAAAUUCUGAGAAAUUGCAAUUUUCCGAAGUAGAAAAACACGUUGACAACAAUACUUUUUAAAUAAAUUUUUAAUUAUCCGUGAAAUUUAGUCUUUUUUCGUUUUGUCUCGUAUCUCCAACAGAUGACGUAGUAUUUUGUGAAUAAUUCAUAUCGAACAAGACAUGAAUAUAAUAUAUAACUGCAUAAUUAAAAAAACGUGUGGGCAACCGAAAAGAGGAAAAAUCAAUGUGAUCAGAAUUGUGGAAUGCUGACUGAUACAACAGUUAUGUUCACUUUCCAAUACAUUAAAUCGACUAGUUAAGAAUAAUAUAAUGUUUAACUUACGCUGAAAUGCAGAGAUAAUCAGGUGAACGAAUAAAACCGAAUAAAAUCUCGGAAAACUUGACAAUCGCUUGCCGUUGAUUGCUCGAGGUGAAUGACUCAACGACCGCGAAUUUUCACAGUGAUUACACAUUCGAUAAUUUCACCAUUUCCGAUUUAUAUUCCCACGGGACAAUAAAUGGUCUACAACGCCGAGACUGAUUUUUAGUCAAUGGAAUGUCGGAAGCAUUCAGAACAUUCCUGAAUUUUGUAAAUCAAUGGAAAAAAUUCUCACUUUGUUAUUAAUGAUUCGAUUGAUAUUUUUAAUCAAAUUGCAAUGCUAAAAUGUCGUCACUAAAACGCAAAAUAUUUCAUUGAUUUUAUUGUAAGUUGACAACAAAAUCACGGGAAAUCCAAGAUUUUGCAUUAAUUAUUGAUUAAAAAAUUGGGAAACGUCAGAUAAAUUCAGGUGAAUAUAUCGUAUAACUUUCUAUCAACUAGACAUUUCCGGAAAUGAGAUCAUUAAAAUGAGGCAUUAUUGAUUUUCUAACUAGUUAACAACAGAAUAAAAAAAUAAAAAUGGAACCUCAAUCACUCCCUAAAUGUCGUGAAUCAUAACUCUCAUGUUUAAUUUUAAAUUCAAGAAAUUUCGAAAAUUCUCACCAAAAAUUCUCUCUCUACCCAAAAAUAUUUCAAUCCACUCGAGUUUAACCGGAAAUGAAAAAUGCCAUCAGUUUACGCCGCCCACAUCGGCAUCAAUAUUGCUCUCCAGAAAGUCACUGCCACGUUGCUGAUGACAUUCAACAUUAUUUUGACAGUGUAUUGGAAUUUCCUAAAUUGAAUUCCUCCACCUCCAUAGAAACGCCAUGACAUUUAGUUAUCUCUCCCACAACGAAAUAUUCCACGCCAGUAGUGACUUGCAUCGUCGUUUUCGUUGGGCAUGGUCCCCCGCGGAUAAUUAAAUUAUUGAUUUUUUCAACGAUCAUUGAUUUUUUUAUCGAUUUUCAUUGAUUUUUCCUCUUAUUAAUAACAAAAUGAUGGAAAUGGAUUCCUUCCCAUGUUCCUCGUCUCACCAAGACAUUGAGAAUUCACCGAUCCUCAACGGCGCACUAACUCAACAAUUUUUCCACGGAAAACCGAUAAUGGAAAGAGGGAACCAGCAAUUGAAGGUAUGAGGAAGCCGUUAUUCCCCCCAGUCCUAGUCUAUGUCGUUGUCAGUUUGGUGUGGCAUGUAAGAAUGUUAUCGCGUGGAGCAUGCUCACACCGAACCGCUUCGCGUGGGAAGGUCGUUCCGAAUUUACAAAUCUGCCCUUUUCAUUACCGAACGCGCCUAAUCAUUCUCCCGAGGAGAUUGUUGCCAACAAAUUGCUAAAACCACUGCUGAUUAUACUGAGUGAUGAUUACGAAUGAGAUAUCAUGAAAUGGCGAGUCACACGAGAAAUUUCCCUCAGGUGUACAUAAAAUCAUGUACACGAAGAUCACGUGUACAUAUGAAUAUGACUGUGUGGACGAGGUGAUUAUUACGUUAUUAGAACAUUUCACGGUACUUACUUGCCAUACACAUCCGUAAAGCAACCGCCAGGUGCGCAAGAGCCCCAGUCAAAUGUACGCCAAAGUCCUCGAAAAACUGAUCAUCUGGUAAUUAGUGUUAGGCAAAGAAACUGGUCUGUCCAGGGGAGGAGGAUCGUCAUGUAUCAUCAGGAUUUAUUGAACAUCGUAAACUCCAUGCGGAGCAUCAAAAGCCUAUCCGAUACUUGCCCGAUGCCUCGCUUGUCGGUCAUGUUAAAGAACCCACCACCCAAUCAUCCACUAUCACUCACCCUUAAACGGCCAACGGCUGUUUUCAUAAAGCAAUUAACUGAAACUAUGACGACUUACAUGAGGAAUGCUGAUAGA